GCGCGGAGGAGUGAGGCGGCACUGGGCGCUGUGCGCGAGGGAGGGGUGAGCGGGAAAACGCGGCGUGGAGCCGGGAACUGCGCCCCCGCCCCUCACACGGGGAGCGGCGCUGAGGGGCGGCUGCUGCCGCUGCUGCCUCCGCUGCCGCCUCCGCUGCCUCCCACCCCGCAGGCGGACGGGUGCGGGGGCGGCUGUGGAAGGCGAAGUUUGGGGAAAAGUUUUCCCCCGCCUCGAGGUGGAGGGCCAGGGGUCGCGGCUCGGCCCCGCCUGUUGGGACGCGUCCCUCGGCGGCAGAUAAGUCCUGGUGCAUGCUGGAAGAAGCGUGUGCUUCAGCACUGAUUAAAGUCAUGUAUGAGUUAAUGAGAAGCUUGCAGAGUAUCUGAAGCAAGAGAAAAUCUUUAACCAGCUCUGCUGUUCCCUCUACAUAGCACAAACUUGUAAGCUGUAACCAGAAGGUGGAUUGAAUAUGUGAAAUGCUGCAGUAGGAGACUCUUGUAAUUGCAUCACAGGUGGAUGCUCAAUUAAUGUGUUAUUGUCACCAUACCUAAAAGUUCGGGCUUUGUUGUUUUGUGUUUGUUUUUCUCAAAUUUCUGUAAGAUGGCAAAAUAUAUUUAAAUCCUUGGGUGCUACAAACCUACAAAGUAGUAUUUUCUGGCUUGGUUUUUAAUUUUAAACAGUGCCUUUGUUUGUUGAGAUGUUGUUUUGUUGCUUUUUUUUUCCUUUUUUUUUUUUCCCCUUUUUUUCUUUUUUUUCCCUAUGCUAACUGCUUCCUGGAUUAAUAAAUUGGUAAUACAUAAGAGACUCUCAGGUGGUGCAGGCACGCAGUGGUGUAAUAUCAACAUUCUAGUUGUGGGACUUCUAAUUUAAGAAACACAUUGCCAGAAGAAAUAAGAUCAAGGCUGAAUCUUGCUUGCAUUUAGGUCCAAAUGUAAGAUCCCCUUUCUAAGUAGUCCCCAGUGAACACUGAGGGUAAUUAAGUAAAAAUAAAACCUUUCACUUCA
Non-coding RNA from Coturnix japonica (Japanese quail), 1001 nucleotides. The record is from RefSeq and is a predicted model, not a curated record. Lineage: Eukaryota; Metazoa; Chordata; Aves; Galliformes; Phasianidae.